Olea europaea var. sylvestris is the source of this 2787-nucleotide long non-coding RNA. RefSeq lists it as uncharacterized. Lineage: Eukaryota; Viridiplantae; Streptophyta; Magnoliopsida; Lamiales; Oleaceae. The transcript is spliced from 4 exons. The record is from RefSeq and is a predicted model, not a curated record.
UCUCAUUAAAACAAUAGUAAUGUAUGAUGAAUUCCAGUUAACUUAGAGUGAUAUUGGAAACUGAAGUUAUAUUGUGUUGCACUUCCAAGGUUUUCAAAUAUAGCUGUGGUUUUAAUUUAAAUAUUUAAGUAUCUCUACUUGUUAUAAAUUUAAAAAGAAAAAAAUUAAGGCCUCAUAAUAAUUAAUCGCUUAGGCCUCAAAAUUCUCAGGGCCGACCCUGCUUCUACACUUCAUUCUCCAAUUCACAAAGUUUCCGCAAUCACUUACUCUAUUCCACAGGUGUAUGCUUAUCAGGAAGAGACACGCAAGUAACGUGCGAGGAAUUUGAUAUCUUUUGGUAAAACCAUUGCUUUGUAAAGGGUUCAUCCCUUGCUAAAUCUGUGUGGGUUUAGGGGUUUUCCUUUUAAAAGGCGUGUUAAUGCUUUUGGUUUUUUGACAGUUGGAAGAUUGGUUCUUCUCAAGUUCAAUCGAAACUCAUUUGUUUUCAUCUAACAAAUCAUUCUUUGAGAGACCAUAGCAAAUAUCGAUUUUGAUACUUUGCGACAAAACAUCUUCCUCAAUAAAAGCACUCAACAAGUAUAUUGUUUUCUCAAUAUUGCCUUUGUUCUUAGUUCUUAAUGCUAAAUAAAGGGCUCAUGGAGAGUUAAUGAGUUGAGUUUGUGGCCAAAAUUGAUGAAAUGGAACUAAUAUCCAAUCGCAAUCUUUUAUGGUUGAAUAUUGACGUCUUGCUAAAAUAGACUUUCUUAAGAACUAGCAAGUAGGAAAAGGACAAGAAAUUAGUGUGAGAAUACUCAAUUUCCUAAAUCUUCCAUUUGAACCUGACUUGAUUAUUAGAAGUUUCUUGUCAUCCUCUCAUUAGCCCGUCAGCCCUAACAACGAAGAGGAAAAGGAAAACAGAACAACAGUUCUAUUGUUUGGUACAUGCUAUGUUCUUGGUUCUAUUUCAUAGCAUUUGAUAGUGCCAUUUUAGUUAAGUUUUACAUGAUGACAUUAGUCACAGAUAUUGUUUCAUCUUAAUUUGAGGCAACCAAAGCUCAAGUAGCAAUUGAAGACGAGCCAUUUUUUGGAUGAAAAUUAUUUUUGAAUGAGAGAAAAAUACAAAAUUGGAAUUACAGUUUCAAUUUUUCAUCUAUAAACUCUUAUUGUUAUGCUUCAAAAAUCUUGUGUCCAGUUUUGGUUUCUAUAUUUGAUCCGAAAGUUUUACCAAUAAUAAUAGCUAUGAUUGUAAUUAUUAUUAGCAUAAUGAUGUUGAUAUUCAUAGAUAAGAUCUAAGAUUCUUGUCAUCAAUUGGAAAGUUAAGGAUUUUACCAACUUUGUGAGUAUUUGUAAUCUCUAUUUCAUCUUCUGGUAUAGAUAAUUGAUAUUGUUGUUAUUUUCACUCAUGAUAACAAUCUCAAGCCAACACUCUAUUCCUUUUUAGGUAUAGUUCAGAGCUUAAUGUUCUCUAGAUUCAAGUGCCCGGGUAACACUGAUCAAGGAUAAGAAGAAAUAUGAUUUUGUGAUUUUGCAGGAUUGAACUUGUGGUUCAUUCUGUACAAAUUUUAGCUGCUGUAGCUGUAUAUUAUAGGCAGAAGGGAUAUUUCACGGGAGCCAUGAUUUUACUAUCAAAUUGUUAGAGCUACUUGAAAGUUAAGAAAUAUUGCUCAAGGUUUAACUUCUUACAAGCUUGUUCCAAGCUACAUUAACGAUGUUAAAAUUGCUAAUGGUUCAGUAUUUGAAGAGUGUGUUUCUUUGUGCUGUGUUUACUACUGGAAUUAAAAAGAGUGAAAAGGAAGGUGAUUAAUUGAGAUUCAGGCUUGGACAUUUUAGAGUUAGAAGAAUAUUAAAAACAGUUCUUCUAUCUUACUUGAAUCUUAUACGUGUUUUAAAAGGGAUUUUGUUACUGUUUUCUGGCAAUGAAGCAUAAGAAGGGAAUCUUUAGAAACAAUUCAUAUCCUAUCAUUUAUAUUUUACCAAACAAAUUGACUUGAUGGAGGGUACAUCGGCUAGAAAUGAAUAGGCAGGUGUGGAAUGUGUAAACAAUGGAGAUUUCGUAUUUGAGAAGCCCUUUUUAUAUAAUCCCACUGUUAAAUCUGCCUAUUUAAUUGCAUUCCUAAUAUCUCUAUGGCAGGUUUGGAAGGAAUUGGCUGCUGUUAGAUUGGCUGCUUCUAUAAGAAUGUAUAUCCGUUCAACAACCACCAUACACGUAUAUUUAACAUUUAGCAACUAACGUGCAACACACCUUUUCCUCACUAUAUUGUUGAAAUGUUUAGAGAACUUGGCAUUGGGAUAGUAGCAUACAGUUCUCUUGGACGGGGAUUCUUCUCAUCUGGUCCAAAACGGGUUGAAAUUUUCAGUGAAGGGGACAAACGAAAGAGAAGAUGAAGAGCUGGACGUGUUCAGCCUGGAGAAUGUUAUCAUCUCUAUCCAAGAUUUGUAUAUGAUGCUUUUGCAGAUUAUCAAUUACCAGAAAUUUUAAGGACCCCGCUGCAGUCUCUUUGUUUGCAAAUUAAAAGUCUGAAACUGGGUAGUAUUUCCAAGUUCCUGUCAAGGGCAUUGCAGUCACCUGAGAAUCUAGUGGUAAUGCUUAUUCAAAUAUGUUUCUGUUUUAUGGAAAGAGCUUGCAUCAUGACUCACAUGGAAAAACAUAUGUCAACAAUAAUGUCUUGAGGUUGUUAUACAACUUUUCCUUCACAUUUGCUGCUAAGGUUCAAAAUGCUAUUGAAUAUUUAAAGAUCAUUGGGGCUUUGGAUGAGACUGAAAAUUUGACUAUUGAAUAAGACUCCUAAUUUCUCAAUUUUAUGCUUA